UGUCUUCAGGGCAGGGUGAAAUUCCCGACCGGCGGUAAAGUCCGCGAGCCUGCGGCGCAGGCAUGAACCGGUUAGAUUCCGGUACCGACAGUACAGUCUGGAUGGAAGAAGAUG
RNAcentral lists this non-coding RNA (114 nucleotides) under pig gut metagenome. RNAcentral describes it as "FMN riboswitch (RFN element)". It matches the Rfam family "FMN riboswitch aptamer (RFN element)". Rfam says of the family: The RFN element is a highly conserved domain that is found frequently in the 5'-untranslated regions of prokaryotic mRNAs that encode for flavin mononucleotide (FMN) biosynthesis and transport proteins. The record is from RNAcentral.